UGGUGAAUAUUGCACAAUGGGGGAAACCCUGAUGCAGCGACGCCGCGUGAGCGAAGAAGUCUUUCGAGUCGUAAAGCUCUGUCCUAUGAGAAGAUAAUGACGGUAUCAUAGGAGGAAGCCCUGGCUAAAUACGUGCCAGCAGCCGCGGUAAUACGUAUGGGGCGAGCGUUGUCCGGAAUUAUUGGGCGUAAAGGGUACGUAGGCGGUUUUUUAAGUCAGGUGUCAAAGCGUGGAGCUUAACUCCAUUAAGCACUUGAAACUGAAAGACUUGAGUGAAGGAGAGGAAAGUGGAAUUCCUAGUGUAGCGGUGAAAUGCGUAGAUAUUAGGAGGAAUACCGGUGGCGAAGGCGACUUUCUGGACUUUUACUGACGCUCAGGUACGAAAGCGUGGGGAGCAAACAGG
Molecule: ribosomal RNA, 403 nt
Filed under: Verrucomicrobiota bacterium
Lineage: Bacteria; Pseudomonadati; Verrucomicrobiota
Description: Verrucomicrobia bacterium partial 16S ribosomal RNA
Rfam family: Bacterial small subunit ribosomal RNA
Source: RNAcentral